This 250-nucleotide ribosomal RNA is filed under the name uncultured bacterium. Its description in RNAcentral is "partial 16S ribosomal RNA". It matches the Rfam family "Bacterial small subunit ribosomal RNA", at positions 83 to 334 of the family's 1533-position model. The record is from RNAcentral.
AAGAGAUGGCGACCGGCGCACGGGUGAGUAACACGUAUCCAACCUGCCGAUAACUCCGGAAUAGCCUUUCGAAAGAAAGAUUAAUACCGGAUGGCAUACGAAUAUCGCAUGAUAUUUUUAUUAAAGAAUUUCGGUUAUCGAUGGGGAUGCGUUCCAUUAGUUUGUUGGCGGGGUAACGGCCCACCAAGACUACGAUGGAUAGGGGUUCUGAGAGGAAGGUCCCCCACAUUGGAACUGAGACACGGCCCAA